Molecule: unclassified non-coding RNA, 249 nt
Filed under: Hevea brasiliensis (rubber tree)
Lineage: Eukaryota; Viridiplantae; Streptophyta; Magnoliopsida; Malpighiales; Euphorbiaceae
Source: RNAcentral
GAAAUCAUGCUAAUUAAUUUGGAAAAUAAAAUUUUAAUGGUGCAGUUGGUUAAAAUAAAAGACCAUGGAUACAAUGCAUUUUUUCUAAUUAGUUCGGGGGAUAAUUCUGUAUAGUGCCUACUUUUGCGAGUCUUUGGUGAGAAGUUAUGCUGUUUGAUGUACUUCCUUUUUUUCUGUUGACACUUUGAUAUCAAUGACUAUGAAUCCUAGCAAUUGCAUGCUAGGAAAGCUAGUGCAAUGCUAGGCUCU